Molecule: ribosomal RNA, 263 nt
Filed under: uncultured bacterium
Lineage: Bacteria
Description: partial 16S ribosomal RNA
Source: RNAcentral
CUGCUGCCUCCCGUAGGAGUCUGGGCCGUGUCUCAGUCCCAAUGUGGCCGUCCGCCCUCUCAGGCCGGCUACUGAUCGUCGCCUUGGUGGGCCGUUACCCCGCCAACUGGCUAAUCAGACGCGGAUCCACCGUAUACCGCCGGAGCUUUUCACACUGUCCCAUGCGGGACCGUGCGCUUAUGCGGUAUUAGCACCUGUUUCCAGGUGUUAUCCCCCUGUAUACGGCAGGUUAUCCACGCGUUACUCACCCGUCCGCCACUAAA